Molecule: signal recognition particle RNA, 289 nt
Filed under: Myotis davidii
Lineage: Eukaryota; Metazoa; Chordata; Mammalia; Chiroptera; Vespertilionidae
Description: Metazoan signal recognition particle RNA
Rfam family: Metazoan signal recognition particle RNA
About the family: The signal recognition particle (SRP) is a universally conserved ribonucleoprotein. It is involved in the co-translational targeting of proteins to membranes.
Source: Rfam by way of RNAcentral
GCCGGGCGCCUGUAGUCCCAGCUACUCGGGAGGCUGAGGCUGGAGGAUCACUUGAGCCCAGGAGUUCUGGGCUGUAGUGCGCUAUGCAGAUCGGGUGUCUGCACUAAGCUAGGCAUCAAUAUGGUGACCUCUUGGGAGCGGGGGGCCACCAGGUUGUCUAAGGAGGGGUGAACCGGCCCAGGUCGGAGACGGAGCAGGUCUAAAAUCUAACAUUUGUAAAUAUUGACAAAGAUACAGAAAAACAGAGGUAGUAGAAAGUCCUGUUCUUGUGCAGGAGUCUCAGCUACCA